This 28-nucleotide non-coding RNA is filed under the name Rattus norvegicus (Norway rat). The record is from RNAcentral. Lineage: Eukaryota; Metazoa; Chordata; Mammalia; Rodentia; Muridae.
UGAAAUUCACAUGUGCUCUUUAAAUGUC